Molecule: long non-coding RNA, 290 nt
Organism: Xenia sp. Carnegie-2017
Lineage: Eukaryota; Metazoa; Cnidaria; Anthozoa; Malacalcyonacea; Xeniidae
Exons: 2
Source: RefSeq, a predicted model, not a curated record
AGAUCUACCCCAUGUUUUGUGGUCACUUUUGUAGUGGAAGUCACUUCAAUAGACUGUGUAAGCAAUCGAGUAUUCUUUUAAGGAAACCUAAAGUGAAUGUAUACAUGGACACUGUUAUCAAAAAUAUAUCAAUAUAAAUCAAGGUAGUUUUGACAUGACCAAACUGAAAACAAUUGCAGUUUGUUGUUAUUUUAUAUUCUCCUUUUGUUAUAUCAUUUUGUUGUAAUCUUUGAUGCAAAUGAUUGUUGUAUUAUAGUUUAGUGACAAAAGAAUAUCAGAAUUAUUGUAAA